This 446-nucleotide ribosomal RNA is filed under the name uncultured bacterium. Its description in RNAcentral is "partial 16S ribosomal RNA". It matches the Rfam family "Bacterial small subunit ribosomal RNA", at positions 338 to 795 of the family's 1533-position model. The record is from RNAcentral.
CCUACGGGGGGCAGCAGUCGAGAAUCAUUCACAAUGGGGGAAACCCUGAUGGUGCGACGCCGCGUGGGGGAAUGAAGGUCUUCGGAUUGUAAACCCCUGUCAUGUGGGAGCAAAUUAAAAAGAUAGUACCACAAGAGGAAGAGACGGCUAACUCUGUGCCAGCAGCCGCGGUAAUACAGAGGUCUCAAGCGUUGUUCGGAAUCACUGGGCGUAAAGCGUGCGUAGGCUGUUUCGUAAGUCGGGUGUGAAAGGUGCGGGCUCAACCCGCGGACGGCACAUGAUACUGCGAGACUAGAGUAAUGGAGGGGGAACCGGAAUUCUCGGUGUAGCAGUGAAAUGCGUAGAGAUCGAGAGGAACACUCGUGGCGAAGGCGGGUUCCUGGACAUUAACUGACGCUGAGGCACGAAGGCCAGGGGAGCGAAAGGGAUUAGAUACCCUUGUAGUC